Fonsecaea multimorphosa CBS 102226 is the source of this 143-nucleotide non-coding RNA. NCBI's taxonomy places the organism in Eukaryota, Fungi, Ascomycota, Eurotiomycetes, Chaetothyriales, Herpotrichiellaceae. The record is from the annotation of a RefSeq genome assembly.
GCCUUCAUGGCGCAGGGGUAACGGUAUAAAUGCAAUCUAUCAGUUCUCACGGUCUGAAAACUGACUUUUGUAUUUAGCGUCGCACUUGUAAUGCGCAAACGCAAUACAUGCGAAGAUCACAAGUUCGAAUCUUGUUGGAGGCA